RNAcentral lists this long non-coding RNA (307 nucleotides) under Panax ginseng (ginseng). Its description in RNAcentral is "long non-coding RNA (PGIN_LNC004795)". The record is from RNAcentral. Lineage: Eukaryota; Viridiplantae; Streptophyta; Magnoliopsida; Apiales; Araliaceae.
ACACAGGCUAUUGAGGACCAACCCGGUACUAAUAUAUGUGAUCAUCAUCCCCAUACUGUAUUUGAUACAACAUGAGAGGUUAUGUGUACGUACCGUGAUGCUAAUAAUUUUAAGAAGAAGUCUGAACAGAUGAAGAAGAAUCGUUCCAAGCUCCGAGUAGUACAUACUACUGGCUCGCAGUCAUUUGAGGAGUUGAAGUUGGUAUGUAUGUGUGUUUAGUUGUUUAGUUUAAUAUUUCCAUAAGCAUACUAAAUAAAUGUAUAUUAAUGUAUUUAUUAGGUUGUGCUAACUUGGGCUGACCUCCCAC